RNAcentral lists this ribosomal RNA (572 nucleotides) under uncultured Gammaproteobacteria bacterium. Its description in RNAcentral is "bacterial SSU rRNA". It matches the Rfam family "Bacterial small subunit ribosomal RNA", at positions 812 to 1381 of the family's 1533-position model. The record is from RNAcentral. Lineage: Bacteria; Pseudomonadati; Pseudomonadota; Gammaproteobacteria.
UCGAUUUGGAGUUUGUUGCCCUGAGUGAUUGGGCUCCGAAGCUAACGCGAUAAAUCGACCGCCUGGGGGAGUACGGCCGCAAGGUUAAAACUCAAAUGAAAUUGACGGGGGCCCGCACAAGCGGUGGAGCAUGUGGUUUAAUUCGAAGCAACGCGAAGAACCUUACCAGGUCUUGACAUCUCCUGCAAGCCUAAGAGAUUAGGGGUUNCCUUCGGGGACAGGAAGACAGGUGGUGCAUGGUUGUCGCCAGCUCGUGUUGUGAAAUGUUGGGUUAAGUCCCGCAACGAGCGCAACCCUUAUCCUUUGUUGCCAUUGGUUCGGCCGGGAACUCAAAGGAGACUGCCGUUGAUAAAGCGGAGGAAGGUGGGGACGACGUCAAGUCAUCAUGGCCCUUACGACCAGGGCUACACACGUGCUACAAUGGCGUAUACAAAGGGAGGCGACCUCGCGAGAGCAAGCGGACCUCAUAAAGUACGUCUAAGUCCGGAUUGGAGUCUGCAACUCGACUCCAUGAAGUCGGAAUCGCUAGUAAUCGUGAAUCAGAAUGUCACGGUGAAUACGUUCCCGGGCCU